Long non-coding RNA from Sander lucioperca (pikeperch), 889 nucleotides. RefSeq lists it as uncharacterized. The record is from RefSeq and is a predicted model, not a curated record. Lineage: Eukaryota; Metazoa; Chordata; Actinopteri; Perciformes; Percidae. The transcript is spliced from 2 exons.
UAAAAGUACUGAUUAUUUACAUGGAGUCUGGUGGAGUCUAUCUCUGUAGGGAUCCUUUCAUAAUGUUGUCACACACUUAGAAUAAUAAUCUGAGUCUGUCAGCAGCAACAACAGAACUUUUAGUGGACGUUUAAGUGACAUUUUGCCAUCAUUUCAAAGACAAAUUCAGCAGGUUCAACAGAUUCAGCAACUGCACGGCCUAUUUCUCGCUCAAAAUCUUUUCAGAAACACGUUUCGGUGAACUAUUUUCCUAAAAUAUGAGAUCGUCAUGUUGGUCCGUUUAGAAAUCCUGGGGGGGCAGACAUCCCCACGUGUAGUGUUCGUCCAAUCAGCUGCGGCCAUCGCGAUUGCAGGAGGGCAGAGCCUGUUUUCUUUGCACGUCAUUGGUCAGUGAAGAGAAACUGAUGACUGCUAGUGGCGAGAACAGUGGCGUGCAAUGCUGAGAACAAGCGGGGCGAUCCCUUCCGUUUAAAUAGAAAUGCGUAAAUGGACACGUACCAUAAGUGUUAGUCAGCCAUCGACAGAGAGAAAGCAACACGUCAGGACAAACUGAGGUACAGCAGGAAUCAGAUUGUAAAAAUGGAACUUUUUGCCCAAAUAAGUGAAGCUGUAUUCAUGUUAUUUUAAUGCCGAAUUCAGCAGAAGACACUUAAAGUAAACACUGACUUGUUUACAGCUUUUUCCAUUUAAUGUAACGUUGGUUCCAAGCAAGGCGAAAAUUAAACGGACACAUUUCUGAAGGGAGUCUGGUGACGUUUACGCCAAUAACUGUGUGUGAAUCAGGAAGAGUAAGAAAUGACCUUCAUGUUAUUGUGCGUGCAGUUAUCUUUCAUAAAUGUAUUUUUUGUUAAAUCAGGUUUAAAAAAAAUAAAAUCCUCUUUCUUAUGAA